RNAcentral lists this transfer RNA (69 nucleotides) under Lepilemur microdon. RNAcentral's name for it is "tRNA-His". It matches the Rfam family "tRNA". Rfam says of the family: Transfer RNA (tRNA) molecules are approximately 80 nucleotides in length. Their secondary structure includes four short double-helical elements and three loops (D, anti-codon, and T loops). Further hydrogen bonds mediate the characteristic L-shaped molecular structure. tRNAs have two regions of fundamental functional importance: the anti-codon, which is responsible for specific mRNA codon recognition, and the 3' end, to which the tRNAs corresponding amino acid is attached (by aminoacyl-tRNA synthetases). tRNAs cope with the degeneracy of the genetic code in two manners: having more than one tRNA (with a specific anti-codon) for a particular amino acid; and 'wobble' base-pairing, i.e. permitting non-standard base-pairing at the 3rd anti-codon position. The record is from RNAcentral. Lineage: Eukaryota; Metazoa; Chordata; Mammalia; Primates; Lepilemuridae. RNAcentral also lists the same sequence under 1 other name.
GUAGAUAUAGUUUAAACAAAACACUAAACUGUGAAUUUAGCUAUAAGGGCUCGAAACCCCUUAUCUACC